RNAcentral lists this ribosomal RNA (406 nucleotides) under uncultured bacterium. Its description in RNAcentral is "partial 16S ribosomal RNA". It matches the Rfam family "Bacterial small subunit ribosomal RNA", at positions 30 to 526 of the family's 1533-position model. The record is from RNAcentral.
AUUGAACGCUGGCGGCAGGCCUAACACAUGCAAGUCGAACGAGUGGCGGACGGGUGAGUAAUGUCUGGGAAUCUGCCUGAUGGAGGGGGAUAACUACCGGAAACGGUAGCUAAUACCGCAUACCAUCGGAUGUUCCCAGAUGGGAUUAGCGAGUAGGUGGGGUAAAGGCUCACCUAGGUGACGAUCCCUAGCUGGUCUGAGAGGAUGACCAGCAACACUGGAACUGAGACACGGUCCAGACUCAUACGGGAGGCAGCAGUGGGGAAUAUUGCACAAUGGGCGCAAGCCUGAUGCAGCCAUGCCGCGUGUAUGAAGAAGGCCUUCGGAUUGUAAAGUACUUUCAGCGGGGAGGCGUUACCAGCAGAAGAAGCACCGGCUAACGCCGUGCCAGCAGCCGCGGUAAUAC